GAUGAACGCUGGCGGCGUGCCUAACACAUGCAAGUCGAACGAAGCUUGACGGAUGAUUUCUUCGAAAUGAAACCAGAUAUGACUUAGUGGCGGACGGGUGAGUAACACGUGAGCAACCUGCCUUUCAGAGGGGGAUAACGGCUGGAAACGGUCGCUAAUACCGCAUGAUGUGAUCGGAUGGCAUCAUCUGAACAUCAAAGAUUUAUCGCUGAAAGAUGGGCUCGCGUCUGAUUAGAUAGUUGGUGGGGUAACGGCCUACCAAGUCUACGAUCAGUAGCCGGACUGAGAGGUUGAACGGCCACAUUGGGACUGAGAUACGGCCCAGACUCCUACGGGAGGCGGCAGUGGGGAAUAUUGCACAAUGGGGGAAACCCUGAUGCAGCAACGCCGCGUGAAGGAUGACGGUUUUCGGAUUGUAAACUUCUUUUCUUAGUGACGAAGACAGUGACGGUAGCUAAGGAAUAAGCAUCGGCUAACUACGUG
Molecule: ribosomal RNA, 483 nt
Filed under: uncultured bacterium
Lineage: Bacteria
Description: partial 16S ribosomal RNA
Rfam family: Bacterial small subunit ribosomal RNA
Source: RNAcentral